This 253-nucleotide ribosomal RNA is filed under the name uncultured bacterium. RNAcentral's name for it is "partial 16S ribosomal RNA". It matches the Rfam family "Bacterial small subunit ribosomal RNA", at positions 524 to 776 of the family's 1533-position model. The record is from RNAcentral.
UACAGGGGGGGCAAGCGUUGUUCGGAAUUACUGGGCGUAAAGGGCUCGUAGGUGGCCAACUAAGUCAGACGUGAAAUCCCUCAGCUUAACUGGGGAACUGCGUCUGAUACUGGAUGGCUUGAGUUUGGGAGAGGGAUGCGGAAUUCCAGGUGUAGCGGUGAAAUGCGUAGAUAUCUGGAGGAACACCGAUGGCGAAGGCAGGUCUCUGGGCCAUAACUGACGCUGAGAAGCGAAAGCAUGGGGAGCGAACAGG